This 67-nucleotide transfer RNA is filed under the name Hygrobates longiporus. RNAcentral's name for it is "tRNA-Trp". Lineage: Eukaryota; Metazoa; Arthropoda; Arachnida; Trombidiformes; Hygrobatidae. The record is from RNAcentral.
AAAUCAAUAGGUUAUGUAAACUAAUAUCCUUCAAAGAUAUAGAAAGUAAGAUUUAACUUUAAAUUUG